Zingiber officinale is the source of this 395-nucleotide long non-coding RNA. RefSeq lists it as uncharacterized. The transcript is spliced from 4 exons. The record is from RefSeq and is a predicted model, not a curated record. NCBI's taxonomy places the organism in Eukaryota, Viridiplantae, Streptophyta, Magnoliopsida, Zingiberales, Zingiberaceae.
GACUGCUGGGGUCAUGUUCACUGGGGUUUAUGUGCUGGUUGACAUCUAUGGCUACAGGAAGCCAACCUUGGUCAUGGAAUGGCUAGGGAUGCAUGCAUUGAUGGUCUACAGUCUAUUAGGUUGCAACAUCUUCCCUUUAUUUGCCCAAGGAUUCUACUUGAGGGAGCCUGAGAACAAUAUAUUGAAGGUCAUUGGCAUUUCCUAAACAUCAUUUAUCUCGUUCACCGCAUCAUCCUUACCUGGAAAGAAUUUCAAUCAAUGAUCACUAUCAAGGAAGAAUGUUCAAAGGAAAGUAAAGGCUAAGGAGAAGAAACCAUAUACUCCUUUCCCUCCUCAGCUACCAAGCAAGGUGUCCUCAAGAGUAUUGGGAAGAAUGCCGGCAAGUUAAAAAAAUG